This 672-nucleotide ribosomal RNA is filed under the name Salmonella enterica. RNAcentral describes it as "partial 23S ribosomal RNA". It matches the Rfam family "Bacterial large subunit ribosomal RNA", at positions 2132 to 2803 of the family's 2925-position model. Lineage: Bacteria; Pseudomonadati; Pseudomonadota; Gammaproteobacteria; Enterobacterales; Enterobacteriaceae. RNAcentral also lists the same sequence under 1 other name. The record is from RNAcentral.
UGAUGUGUAGGAUAGGUGGGAGGCUUUGAAGUGUGGACGCCAGUCUGCAUGGAGCCGACCUUGAAAUACCACCCUUUAAUGUUUGAUGUUCUAACGUGGACCCGUAAUCCGGGUUGCGGACAGUGUCUGGUGGGUAGUUUGACUGGGGCGGUCUCCUCCUAAAGAGUAACGGAGGAGCACGAAGGUUGGCUAAUCCUGGUCGGACAUCAGGAGGUUAGUGCAAUGGCAUAAGCCAGCUUGACUGCGAGCGUGACGGCGCGAGCAGGUGCGAAAGCAGGUCAUAGUGAUCCGGUGGUUCUGAAUGGAAGGGCCAUCGCUCAACGGAUAAAAGGUACUCCGGGGAUAACAGGCUGAUACCGCCCAAGAGUUCAUAUCGACGGCGGUGUUUGGCACCUCGAUGUCGGCUCAUCACAUCCUGGGGCUGAAGUAGGUCCCAAGGGUAUGGCUGUUCGCCAUUUAAAGUGGUACGCGAGCUGGGUUUAGAACGUCGUGAGACAGUUCGGUCCCUAUCUGCCGUGGGCGCUGGAGAACUGAGGGGGGCUGCUCCUAGUACGAGAGGACCGGAGUGGACGCAUCACUGGUGUUCGGGUUGUCAUGCCAAUGGCACUGCCCGGUAGCUAAAUGCGGAAGAGAUAAGUGCUGAAAGCAUCUAAGCACGAAACUUGCCCCGAG